CCUACGGGAGGCAGCAGUGGGGAAUAUUGCACAAUGGGGGGAACCCUGAUGCAGCGACGCCGCGUGAGUGAAGAAGUAUUUCGGUAUGUAAAGCUCUAUCAGCAGGGAAGAAAAUGACGGUACCUGACUAAGAAGCCCCGGCUAACUACGGGCCAGCAGCCGCGGUAUUACGUAGGGGGCAAGCGUUAUCCGGAUUUACUGGGUGUAAAGGGAGCGUAGACGGUUAUGCAAGUCUGAAGUGAAAGCCCAGGGCUCAACCAUGGGACUGCUUUGGAAACUGUAAAACUGGAGUGCAGGAGAGGUAAGCGGAAUUCCUAGUGUAGCGGUGAAAUGCGUAGAUAUUAGGAGGAACACCAGUGGCGAAGGCGGCUUACUGGACUGUAACUGACGUUGAGGCUCGAAGGCGUGGGGAGCAAACAGGAUUAGAUACCCCAGUAGUC
This 440-nucleotide ribosomal RNA is filed under the name uncultured bacterium. RNAcentral describes it as "partial 16S ribosomal RNA". It matches the Rfam family "Bacterial small subunit ribosomal RNA", at positions 338 to 795 of the family's 1533-position model. The record is from RNAcentral.